This is a non-coding RNA of Bemisia tabaci, 544 nucleotides long. Lineage: Eukaryota; Metazoa; Arthropoda; Insecta; Hemiptera; Aleyrodidae. The record is from RefSeq and is a predicted model, not a curated record.
UUUACCGUGCUCAUACUCACACGCAGCUGAGCUUAGAUUACCGUAAAGGAGUCGUUUUCUUUGUUGUUUUUCUGAAUUUUUUUCUCUGUUAUACUGUGUUUUACCUAAAUCUCUUCGGUGUUUUUAUUUUAUCGUGCUCAUGCUCACACGCAGCUGAGCUUAGAUUACCGCAAAGGAGUCGUUUUCUUUGUUCGCGAGAAAAUCUGUUCGCUCAUGGCCAACUAUACGUAGGAAUGAGUAGAGCAAGGCGAAGGGAAAACGUAUGCCUGUUGACGAACCCCGACAGGAUCCACAACGACGCCGUGGCAACUCGCAACAUUGUUUAUCCAGAAUUAUUAUUGUGAAAAAAGGGAAAUUUAUAUUAAUACUUACACGGAGAAAAAAACUUCGUGCAUGGGACCCGACGUUGAGAUCAUAUGAAUCUCUUAAAACUUGAGGUCAGCUGCCGAAAUUCAGGUCAGAAAUCUGAAACACUUCGGUAUGCACCGAGUACUUCAGAUGUGUGACCUGAAACCUUCGAUAUAUACCGAACUACUUCAAUUGU